AGUUUUGAGGCAACGCCGCAAAAAGUGAGCCAACACGGCGACUCAUAGCAUAACUUCAUUUUAAUUCUCUCCUUUGCUUCAUACAGACAAGAAAUCUACAACAGUACACAAGAGGACGGUCCAGUUCGUCAUUGUAUCGUCCGCAACACAGUAUUAACCUUUGACUUGGGGUCACACACGGACCUCUUGGGUGAAGCUGAGGAGGAAAGGUUCAUGCACGUCUUGUUGCAAAGAUGGACACCUGGUCCCGGAACAGCACCGGGUCCAGUCUCAUCUGCGAGUGCAGCAGAGGCAUGUAGCCCAGCCAGCGACUGAAGGCGUUCAUGCACGUCUGCCGUUGGGCAAAGUGGUCGGGGUCGGCCCAGCGGGACGCCUUGGAGCCCUUUGUUGGGACACAAACACACACAAAGAACGUCACAUGCUGCGAAAAAUUGCAACAUUAACUGGAAGCAUUCCGAAGAAUACACCUGUUUGCCCUCCAAGUGCUUGAGCCGGCGCCUCGUCUGCAACCGAACGUGACAUCAUGUGCAACAAAGGUAUCGAUAUAUGAUUUUACCCGAGUAACAACAUAACUUGGUUGAUACUUAUAAAAG
Entelurus aequoreus (snake pipefish) is the source of this 593-nucleotide long non-coding RNA. RefSeq lists it as uncharacterized. Lineage: Eukaryota; Metazoa; Chordata; Actinopteri; Syngnathiformes; Syngnathidae. The record is from RefSeq and is a predicted model, not a curated record. The transcript is spliced from 3 exons.